RNAcentral lists this ribosomal RNA (1553 nucleotides) under Epimeria sp. 2 MLV-2017. Its description in RNAcentral is "partial 28S ribosomal RNA". It matches the Rfam family "Eukaryotic large subunit ribosomal RNA", at positions 82 to 868 of the family's 3401-position model. The record is from RNAcentral. Lineage: Eukaryota; Metazoa; Arthropoda; Malacostraca; Amphipoda; Epimeriidae.
AGUAGUGGCGAACGAAAGGGGAACAGCCCAGCGCAUAACCUCCCGGGCUACCAAGCCUGCGGCGGAAUGUUGCGUAAAGGGAAAGGUCGUUUAUAAGCCCUGCACUACAUGGCCUAAGUUUGGCUUGAAUUUCUCACUGUAUCCUAACGGCUACAACGGCUCCACAGAGGGUGUCAGACCCGUGAGGCUAUGUGAUUAAAUGUGCAUGGGUUCGGCUUUAUUCCCUGAGAGUCGCGUUGCUUGAGCAUGCAGCGCUAAGCAGGUCGUAAACUCGACCUAAGGCUAAAUAUAUUCACAGAACCGAUAGUAAACAAGUACCGUGAGGGAAAGUUGAAAAGUACUCUGAAGAGAGAGUCAAAAGACCGUGAAACCGCUUAGAGUAUAAGCCAAUGGUAUUCUGGAAUGCUGGAGUUGCCCUAGCAAAAUUGUACCCGAUUGUGGGUUACGUCAAACGGGUAUCGUGUGAGCGAGAGAACAUGAAGGCUGAUGGGCAAUCGAACCGAAAAGUGGAAUUGAGUUUAUACCACGGCACCCAAAUCUCGCGGGUCUCUGACAGUGGUAACAGGGAACGUUCGUGAGGAACUGAACCGAGGCUGGACUUGAGCGAGCAUCAGUUUCUAAGCCCACUAACGAUUAACUCUCUAUACAGCACACCACAAUCCUUUAUAAGGUCUCCCUCGUGAGGUGUGGUCAUGGAGAGAGUGAGAGAGAAAGAGAUUUAUGUCCCGACUUUCUCUCUCUGUCUGUGUUUGCGAGUUGUGUCGCGUUAUGUGCCCUCUUGUUGUAUGUGCGCUUUGGCAGCGUGCUCCAAGUCCCGUACAUAUGUGUAUAUAACGGCAUUGGCUUGCCUGGGUAUAUGCAUUCGGGAAAUGUUGGUUGCAGAGGGCCGGCCAACUUUGCACUGCACCGUUCCAGACACGAACGGAAUGAUCCUAUGUGAAGAUUGAUUCUGACCAGCCGAUACCGGGAGUCAUACUCUGGCAGAGUAUGGUGAGCUAACGCACGGGAGUCCCCCGGCGCCUGGUACAUUAGCCCCUUAUGUUGGUCUCUAAUGAGGGACAGGAUGCUUACGCGUCCUCGUUGUCCGUCCUGCUGGAUGACUGGCUUUGGGGUGUGCUGGGAUCACGUUGGGAGUUUUGUCAUACCGUCGGGUUCAGGCUGUUUGGUGCAUUAUUCCAGAACCAUUGGUCACGUCUCGAAACACGGGCCAAGGAGCAUAGCAUGUGCGCAAGUCUAAGGGAUAAGAAAUCCUGGAGGCGAAGUGAAAGCAAAUGGUGUGUUUAUGAGUGUGCUCCCUCACGGGGGUGCGCUUGUAUUCAGCCUGCGAUGAGCGUAAUUCCUACACCUGCGUGUGUGGAUGACUGCGUCUCGCGGCUUAUACUGUGUUGAUCCCGAAUCGUAAUCAAGCCAAAUUGGCGAUACGCUGGCGCAAACACCAGGCUCUCAUAUGUGGGUAUUUGUUUAUCCUCGAGAGCACUGUGUAGCGUGCAUGCUAUAACCCGAAAGAUAGUGAACUAUGCCUGGCGAGGAUYGAAGCCCCAGGAAACUGGGGU